GAUGAACGCUGGCGGCGUGCCUAAUACAUGCAAGUCGAGCGAACGGACGAGAAGCUUGCUUCUCUGAUGUUAGCGGCGGACGGGUGAGUAACACGUGGAUAACCUACCUAUAAGACUGGGAUAACUUCGGGAAACCGGAGCUAAUACCGGAUGAUAUUUUGAACCGCAUGGUUCAAAAGUGAAAGACGGUCUUGCUGUCACUUAUAGAUGGAUCCGCGCUGCAUUAGCUAGUUGGUAAGGUAACGGCUUACCAAGGCAACGAUGCAUAGCCGACCUGAGAGGGUGAUCGGCCACACUGGAACUGAGACACGGUCCAGACUCCUACGGGAGGCAGCAGUAGGGAAUCUUCCGCAAUGGGCGAAAGCCUGACGGAGCAACGCCGCGUGAGUGAUGAAGGUCUUCGGAUCGUAAAACUCUGUUAUUAGGUAAGAACAUAUGUGUAAGUAACUGUGCACAUCUUGACGGUACCUAAUCAGAAAGCCACGGCUAACUACGU
RNAcentral lists this ribosomal RNA (496 nucleotides) under uncultured bacterium. RNAcentral describes it as "partial 16S ribosomal RNA". It matches the Rfam family "Bacterial small subunit ribosomal RNA", at positions 28 to 506 of the family's 1533-position model. The record is from RNAcentral.